CUGCUAUCAGAGUGGGAUUAAGCCAUGCGAGUCAACGUAGCAAUACGUGGCAUACGGCUCAGUAACACGUAGUCAACAUGCCCAGGGGACGUGGAUAACCUCGGGAAACUGAGGCUAAACCGCGAUAGGCCAAGAUUUCUGGAACGGAUCAUGGCCAAAAUCUAUAUGGCCCCUGGAUUGGACUGCGGCCGAUCAGGCUGUUGGUGAGGUAAUGGCCCACCAAACCUGUAACCGGUACGGGCUCUGAGAGGAGGAGCCCGGAGAUGGGCACUUAGACAAGGGCCCAGGCCCUAUGGGGCGCAGCAGGCGCGAAACCUCUGCAAUAAGCGAAAGCUUGACAGGGUUACUCUGAGUGAUUUCCGCUAAGGAAGUCUUUUGGCACCUCUAAAAAUGGUGCAGAAUAAGGGGUGGGCAAGUCUGGUGUCAGCCGCCGCGGUAAUACCAGCACCCCGAGUGGUCGGGACGAUUAUUGGGCCUAAAGCAUCCGUAGCCGGUCCUGCAAGUCCUCCGUUAAAUCCACCCGCUCAACGGUUGGGCCGCGGGGGAUACUACAGGGCUAGGAGGCGGGAGAGGCAAGCGGUACUCGAUGGGUAGGGGUAAAAUCCACUGAUCCAUUGAAGACCACCAGUGGCGAAGGCGGCUUGCCAGAACGCGCUCGACGGUGAGGGAUGAAAGCUGGGGGAGCAAACCGGAUUAGAUACCCGGGUAGUCCCAGCUGUAAACGAUGCAGACUCGGUGAUGGGCUGGCUUCGUGCCAACUCGGUGCCGCAGGGAAGCCGUUAAGUCUGCCGCCUGGGGAGUACGGUCGCAAGACU
This 815-nucleotide ribosomal RNA is filed under the name uncultured archaeon. RNAcentral's name for it is "bacterial SSU rRNA". It matches the Rfam family "Archaeal small subunit ribosomal RNA", at positions 27 to 850 of the family's 1478-position model. The record is from RNAcentral.